ACUUCUGCACAAUAAGUUUGUGGAUGUCCUUGGUGGCUCAGUGCAACGCUCGAUGUACAAAGACCUUAUCUUGCUGCUUCAAAAGGACAAGUACCUGACCCCAGCUGCACAGCUGAAGUCCAAGUUUUCUCUGUCUUGGUGGCCAAGGGGAGAGAGCAUCCUGUCAGACCUCCGCCACGGCCUCAAAACUGAUGUCAUCCUCGUCAACUCCUGUAUC
Osmerus eperlanus (European smelt) is the source of this 217-nucleotide long non-coding RNA. RefSeq lists it as uncharacterized. The record is from RefSeq and is a predicted model, not a curated record. The transcript has 4 exons. NCBI's taxonomy places the organism in Eukaryota, Metazoa, Chordata, Actinopteri, Osmeriformes, Osmeridae.